UUUUAGUUGUUGUGUUUGAUUUUUAACAUGCGGUGUUGUUGGUUUUGGUAGAUGAUGAUGAAGGUUUGGAUGAUGAUGAUGGUUAACAUGAAAAUGCAGUUUGAUGGUGGUGUUGUGAUUGAUGAAACUUGGUGGAGUGAGGGAGACAAGUGAUGACGUGGUUGUGUAGAAUAGUUGUGAGAAGUUUGGUUUUGUGUAGUAAUGGUGAAGGUUUU
Molecule: long non-coding RNA, 215 nt
Filed under: Lathyrus oleraceus (garden pea)
Lineage: Eukaryota; Viridiplantae; Streptophyta; Magnoliopsida; Fabales; Fabaceae
Description: Pisum sativum (pea) long non-coding RNA (PSAT_LNC025862)
Source: RNAcentral